This is a long non-coding RNA of Orcinus orca (killer whale), 564 nucleotides long. RefSeq lists it as uncharacterized. The record is from RefSeq and is a predicted model, not a curated record. NCBI's taxonomy places the organism in Eukaryota, Metazoa, Chordata, Mammalia, Artiodactyla, Delphinidae. The transcript has 3 exons.
UAGUUUUGGCAACCGGUGAAGGGAUUCAGAGCAGACAUCUCUCCUUUGCCUGAACUCUAUGAAGAUCUGGAACCUGGCACAAGCAGAGGCCUCUUGGGUCUGUCCGCCUCCUGAGGGAGUCCAGACAAAUUUGUCAAAAACUCCUAUAUAUCCUGGCUCCUCCCUCACCUCUUUGGAACAAUUCCUCAGAGCUACCUGAGAGGCUGUAUCCUGGGCUUAAAUCCUAAGCCCACCAAAUAAAAGGAUUCAUAAUUCUACUACCAUAAUCACUAUGCUCAAGUAUUAAAGAAAGAACACCUGAAUAGAUCUUCGUCCCAGGAUCUUUUGCUUUACCUCCAUUCUUACUCCAGUGAACUAUCUGGACAACCUAGAAGAAAACUAAGUGUACUUGUAAGUCUCAGCAGUAGAGUGGAUCUUGGCGGAAGACACUCCAUAGUGUAGCAGAACUGGUUAUAGUGGAACUUGGUAGAAUACACUUUAGUUGUAGAGUACAGCUUUGGAGAUGGCAGUUGGAAGUUUGACUCUCAUGUCCACCACUCCCUGACGAGACAUUGUUCACAGGUA